This 447-nucleotide ribosomal RNA is filed under the name uncultured bacterium. Its description in RNAcentral is "SSU rRNA". It matches the Rfam family "Bacterial small subunit ribosomal RNA", at positions 26 to 518 of the family's 1533-position model. The record is from RNAcentral.
AGAACGGACGCUGGCGGCAUGCCUAACACAUGCAAGUCGAACGAGACCUUCGGGUCUAGUGGCGCACGGGUGCGUAACGCGUGGGAAUCUGCCCUUAGGUACGGAAUAACAGUGAGAAAUUACUGCUAAUACCGUAUGAUGUCUUCGGACCAAAGAUUUAUCGCCUAGGGAUGAGCCCGCGUUGGAUUAGCUAGUUGGUGGGGUAAAGGCCUACCAAGGCGACGAUCCAUAGCUGGUCUGAGAGGAUGAUCAGCCACACUGGGACUGAGACACGGCCCAGACUCCUACGGGAGGCAGCAGUGGGGAAUAUUGGACAAUGGGCGAAAGCCUGAUCCAGCAAUGCCGCGUGAGUGAAGAAGGGCCUUCGGGUUGUAAAGCUCUUUUACCCGGGAAGAUAAUGACUGUACCGGGAGAAUAAGCCCCGGCUAACUCCGUGCCAGCAGCCGC